AUUAUUAUUAUUUUUUGUUUCCCCCUACUAAAGAGCAUUAGGGUUUUAGUGUUACUGAUCCUUUCUUGUCUUGCUCAAUUCCGGCUUUGUUUCGGCCGACACAGAGAAAAAUAGGUGAUGUGCGAGUUGCUGAAGCAAGUGCACGCGCAUCCACUGGCCACUGCAGCGUGCGUUAGCAAGUGGCAGUGGCAUUGGACUUACAUCGGCUGCGGCAACCAACAGCUAGCCUUCAGUGGUCGUUCGCCUCCGUUUGGCCUCUGCUGCCGCAAGGCCUUUUCCUCCGCAACCGCCAUUUGGUGAUUCCACGAAAUCCACCACCACCAAAACUCGUUGGGGGAAGGAUAAGAAAAGCAAAGGCUCAUCUCUCUCCGUGGAGAAACCAGACAACAUUUUGAUUUCAACAAAUGGCAUGUUCUCCGAAGGCUUUUACCCUGUAGAUGAUAAUGCAUAUUGUUUGGCAAUAUGGUUCAGUCGAGCAUUGUUCUGUGGGAGUCAUAUUGUGGUUUGGACAGCCAAUCGAGAUUUAACCAGUUAAUUGGAGACUUUCAAAUCUCUCCCUACUAAUCUUAUCUUAACAUAUGCUUACCGUUUCACUCUUUGGGCCAUGAAAACUGUUUCAGUCUAUUUGGUGCAAUUGCAACUUUGUGACACUGGUAAUCUUGUUCUUCAUACCUUGGAGGUUAAAAUUCUUUCGAGAAUGCUUUGAUUCACAAAUAGAUACUCUUCUUCCUCAAUAACUGCUCAUCAAAAAUACAAUACUUGUUUCAGCAAGAAGCCAAACAAGUUAUUGUUAUUCUUCUGGUUUUCACGAGUUAUUCGUCAAUGAGGAUAAUGUUCUCCAACUACUUGUCUUUGAUGGCGUUGAAACAUCCGGAGGUUAUUGGCAUGUCCCAGGACUGCAACCAUAUGAAGGUGGAAGGUCCACCUACAGACUACAGUUACAAUAGAACUUCAGUAGAUUCCUUCAGCAAUUUCAAGUCGUCCUAUGAUUUUGGUGUUCUCUUCUGCUGAUGGGCAAAGGGCCUAAGAGAAUUGAUUGUUGAUGCUGACGAAACAUUACGGAGUGGUCUGCACUUAUGCUGUUGAUAGCGGUAGGAGAUGCAAUUGCAUAGUGAGGUAGAAUAUGGAGAAAUCACGGAUUGGUCUUAUGAUUGUACACAAUGAUGAGGUUGUUUCCAUCCAACUCUCUCAUGUUGAGUUCCAUGUCUAUGGUAUUCGGUACUCCUCAAAUCCCAAAUCACACCUUUGAAAUUGUUUUUGGUACUACAAAUUGGCUAUUUUAUUCACAUGAAGAGUGCUGGGAAUGGGUUUUUACACUUCAUGUGAAGCCUCAGAACAUACUCUUGUACUACAAUUACCACCCAAUAGUGGAAGAUUCUUGUGUGUCUGAAUAGAGGUUACACUGGUACUGUCCGCGACUCCACACCACGGUCACUUUGGUGGGGGAGAAAUGCAUUGGAACUUGAGGAAAUGCAUCAUGGAUCAAAGAAACCAUACUAUACCAUGGAUGGUGAAUAUGGCAAGAUGGAGCUUCUUGAAAUGUGCAGAGGAAAACAGAAAUGCAAGACCCACCGUGAGUAAGUCGUGGAUGUACUUCUGCGUCAUAUAUGUAAGCGAUGACUUCUAAAAAGAGUCAUUGUACGUUAAUCCUUGGAUCAUGUUUGGCAUUUUGUAAAUUUUUGUUUGUUGAUCAUUUUUAAUAUUGUUAUUUUAUUAUCUUCUCUGUAAUUCGGUCUGCUAGGCCUUUUGCUGCAUUUGUAGUUUUUUGGCCGAGUUUAUCAUAUCUAUUUAAGUAUUUAUGGUGUAUAAAUGCCACUUAGCUGCUAUUAUGAAACUUGCAAUAAAGGCACAUAUGACAAAACCCAUCUUGACACUGUCAUCAUGUGAAAUUGUAAUAAUUUUGUUUUAUUUUAUUUUGUAAUAAAUUGACAAAUUUAACCGUUGUUUGGG
Cornus florida is the source of this 1950-nucleotide long non-coding RNA. RefSeq lists it as uncharacterized. The record is from RefSeq and is a predicted model, not a curated record. The transcript has 2 exons. Lineage: Eukaryota; Viridiplantae; Streptophyta; Magnoliopsida; Cornales; Cornaceae.